AUGCUUCUAAGACCUGAAACGGUGGGUUCAGUCUUGCGCCCAGGAACCUCCCACAUCCGCCCUCGUGCUGACCAUGUGCCUCCGCGCUCGGGGCCCCGCCUGCAAGGUCAGGCCUGUCUGGUCUCCGGCGCCGGCCCCCCGUGUCCCGUGAGCCCCGGCGCCCCUCCCCACGGCGCCACCCGUCGUCAGGUUGACCAGAUUUCCUUCUCUCCCAGAUUAGCUCUAAGGCUUCGAAGUUACCUUUGGCGCCAUCACAUCUUUUCUGUGUCCAUGAAGAGAAGACGGUCCCGCGUGGCGCUGUGUGACCUCACGAUGCCGCUGACCCCAGGACCCUUGAGGUCCCUGACCCUUGCUGCCAUGGCCUGCCCAACAGAGCCCCCCACCCCGCCCCCGGGGCCCCAGUAGGGGCUCGAACCCCUGGCGCGGGGAGGCCGUCACCCCGGGCCCGUCCAGAGCGCCCGCUCCCCCGGCGCACGGCGCGCCUCUUCCCUGGCGGGCGGUUAUUACUGUCCUGCCGCGUGACAUCAUAAUAGGCUGCUGUCCCGGAACACAAAAGCCCUCGGAGACGGUGAGGAGACACGUCCUAUUUAUGCCGUCACCGACGAGACAGCAGUGGGGACGGGGGGAGAGUCAACAUCUGUACCCCGGGAAUAACAAUGACCUUGUUCUCUCUUCUAUCUCUGAAGUCUGCUUAAAUCACGCCCUGCGUGCGCGCGGGCAAGAGUGGAUUCCUACAAACCCAGGGAAAUGCCCCGCAGGGCUCCGGAGUCUGCUCCUGCCUCAGGUCCUCUCAGGGACCCUGGACGGGGCGUCAAGACCCCACGAGGACCAGACGCAGGAUGUUGGGGACAGCUCGAGCCCCCCCCGCCCGGAGACCAACGAGGGGCACCGCGCAAACCAGGAUGUGCCAGGAUGUGCCAGGAUCACACAGCCCCAGGCUGGGGUCUCUGCACGCUUGAUAUUUUCACCACAAUUUUGAACAAAAUAAACCUAAGGGUUGCUUUACUCCCACAAAACACGAAGAGGCCACACAGAGGAAUAAACCAGGGAGCUCAGCCCGACGCCGCUCGCCGGGCCUGCCCUGCCCCUGGCGGUGUCCCGCGCUGGGUGCCCGCAGGCCCUCCCCGGGGUGACGGCAUUGCUUCCCGCUGAAGACGGCGCUUCUCAUUCCGCCCGAAGAAGCAACCUGCACCGCGCAGGGGAUUUCUCUGACCAAGAAAGAGAAACAAAAGGAGCAGCGGGCGGGGGCGGCACCGGGGGCUCAGCCUGUGACCGGCGACCGCGCCCUGUCCCAGCAGGUGCCACCCGGGGUGCUGGGGACGCCCAGAGUCAUGGGAGCCGAGGGGCCCCGGACCCGAGCCUGCCGGAGGCCGCCGGGCAAUGCCCACGAGUGCUGAGUGGCGACCCCCGCUUAAAGAUGCACCUGGUACUUAGGCCUAAUUUAUUCUCUUUAUUAAAAAUGAUAUCAAACAAUAUUUCAUUCUGCCCUGGGACCCCUGGGUGGCUUAGCGGUUUGGCGCCUGCCUUUGGCCCAGGGCGCGAUCCUGGAGACCCGGGAUCGGGUCCCACGUCGGGCUCCCGGUGCAUGGAGCCUGCUUCUCCCUCUGCCUGGGUCUCUGCCUCUCUCUCUCCUUGUGUGUCUCGUGUAUAAAUAAAUAAAAUCUUUUAAAAUAUAUAUAUAUAUAUUUCAUUCUGCCCUUUGGUGGAGACAAAAGAUUCAUGAG
Molecule: long non-coding RNA, 1724 nt
Filed under: Canis lupus familiaris (dog)
Lineage: Eukaryota; Metazoa; Chordata; Mammalia; Carnivora; Canidae
Description: lncRNA (ENSCAFG00000045705.2)
Source: RNAcentral